This is a long non-coding RNA of Octopus bimaculoides (California two-spot octopus), 717 nucleotides long. Lineage: Eukaryota; Metazoa; Mollusca; Cephalopoda; Octopoda; Octopodidae. The record is from RefSeq and is a predicted model, not a curated record.
CAUUAUUCAGUCGGGAUUUUUUAAAUAUACCUUAUACCACGUGGAAUUACGCUAACACCAUUAUGGCUGAAAACAGCACUACAGUAAGAUAUCUGGGAAGAUGUAACUUUCGUCUGACUGUUCAAAGAACACUUCAAAAGUCAUCGUCGUGUUAUCAAGCACCCGCAGGAAAAAGGGUUUAGCCCCUAAGGGCAUUUAUGCUACAUUGGAGAAUGACGCACCAGCUUUAUCAACAGUGAAAAAGUGGGCUGCCGAAUAUAGGAGAGGAAGAGAGAGUUAUAAAUAUGACACAAGGUCUGGACGUCCUUAGGCUUCCACCACCGAGGAAAAUAUUUAUUGUGUUCACCACGUGAUGAUGGAUGAGAGGUGAUUGACUAUGAAUCAAAUAGCCAAUGCUGUUAGCAUAUCAAGUAAAAGAGUUGAGAGCAUUUUGCUGAAUGAACUUAGCAUGACGAAAGCUGACCACAUCGUGGGAAAAUCUGACAUUGUUUGAGAUAGAUCCAGUUGAUUUCUUGAACAUUUUCUGACUCAGGAUGAGUGUUGACUCCAUCACUUUGAGCCAGAGGCAAAGAGAUAAUCCAUGCAGUGGUAACACUCUUCUUUCCCUACUUCAAGGAAGGCCAAGGUUAUUUCAUCUGCAGAUAGAUUCAUCACUAAAUUGCUGAAGUAGAAAUAUCGCUCCAUACUACAGAGUUGUUUUGUUGUCUUUGGUCGGUA